UGCGGGGACCCGGGGCCGCGGGGGGGCCUGUCAGCCGAUGCGCGCUGAUCCUACUGUCCGGGGAAAGCAAAACGGGGGUGCAGCUUGGGCGGAAAAGAAAACCGCUCGGUGGGCAGGGGCUGACCUCCCGAGUGCGGAGUGGGUCUCUAACACCCGGUGGGCGCUACACGUGUGCUUAGGGCAGCCCCGCCCG
Canis lupus familiaris (dog) is the source of this 193-nucleotide non-coding RNA. NCBI's taxonomy places the organism in Eukaryota, Metazoa, Chordata, Mammalia, Carnivora, Canidae. The record is from Rfam.